GACGGACGCUGGCGGCGUGCUUAACACAUGCAAGUCGAACGGUGAAGCUCCAGCUUGCUGGAGUGGAUCAGUGGCGAACGGGUGAGUAACACGUGAGCAACCUGCCCCUGACUCUGGAAUAAGCGCUGGAAACGGCGUCUAAUACUGGAUACGAGAAGGGUCCGCAUGGGCACUUUCUGGAAAGUUUUUCGGUUGGGGAUGGGCUCGCGGCCUAUCAGCUUGUUGGUGAGGUAAUGGCUCACCAAGGCGACGACGGGUAGCCGGCCUGAGAGGGCGACCGGCCACACUGGGACUGAGACACGGCCCAGACUCCUACGGGAGGCAGCAGUGGGGAAUAUUGCACAAUGGGCGAAAGCCUGAUGCAGCGACGCCGCGUGAGGGAUGACGGCCUUCGGGUUGUAAACCUCUUUCAGCAGGGAAGAAGCGAAAGUGACGGUACCUGCAGAAGAAGCACCGGCUAACUACGUG
Molecule: ribosomal RNA, 468 nt
Filed under: uncultured bacterium
Lineage: Bacteria
Description: partial 16S ribosomal RNA
Rfam family: Bacterial small subunit ribosomal RNA
Source: RNAcentral